Molecule: long non-coding RNA, 1285 nt
Organism: Quercus robur (English oak)
Lineage: Eukaryota; Viridiplantae; Streptophyta; Magnoliopsida; Fagales; Fagaceae
Exons: 2
Source: RefSeq, a predicted model, not a curated record
UGAAAAGUGGGUGUGAUAUUUUCUUCCCUAGCAUCCCACAUACCCCACCCCUAAAGUCAAAUUUCCUUAUCUUCUUUUCUGCACCAGAAAACACUCCUUGCUCAUCUUCCUUUACUUUUUCUUUUCUUCUUCCUUUGCUCUACCCGGCAGCACCUCUCUUUCACCCUCUCACCAAAAAUCAUAGACAACUCUCUCUAAGAAGAAAUUAAGAGCCUAACACUAAGGUUUCAUCUUCAAAGUGUGUGGGUGGCGAGAACGAGAACACGGACACUUGAGCUCCUCCUGUACAAUCUCUCGCGCCUUCUGUUUUUAGGUAAGGGACUUGUGACGUGUGCUUUUAAUAAGUAUAAAGAUUAUUUCGAAAACUACUAUGCAUUAAAACUUUUUUAUUAGAGAUAUUACAUAUAAGCAUGAUUUAAGUAAAAUAUAUGUUCGUGAGUUGUUCAAUCUUAUAUAUAUGAUAAUUUUAGCAUAUUAAUGCCGGUAACUAUAUCACGAACAUAAUAUUUCAGAAUGAAGUGGAUAUGCUACUAUUAUGAAAUAAUUAUGUAAAAGCAUAGUUAUCAGAAAAAUAUAGCGUUCAGGUUAUUCCAUUGUUAUGUUCUGAACUCAGCCAGUAGGGGUUAAUUAUUGGCUUUCCAUGGAAAAUGUUAUCUGUUUGGCCAUUUAAAGUAGAGGAAAUGGGGUUGCUCAUAACUCUAAUCUGAACUAGGCCUUCUCCCCAAUGUGUACGGACAGCAGAGAGGGAUAAAACCUUGAGGAGAUGUGCCAUCAGGCCUCUCAAAGAGGACAAUAUCACGCACACAAGGUCACCUAAAUGUGAUGAGGCCUUCUCUGUACAGACUUAUCAGAUAUGGACUAACCAAUAUGUUAUGAAUAGCUAUAUUAUGUUAUUGAUCACGAGAGAAUGAUUUUGUUUAAAUGCAUUAUGAAAGGUUAAAAACUCUCAUGAAAAGAAGAAGUUUAUGAUGAAGCAUUUUAUAAUCUUUUUAAAGAUAGAGUUACUGAAUUAUGUUUAUGUUCCUUGUUAUGUCAUUUUAUUAUUAUAUGAAAGGAAAAUGAAAUAUUUUCAUCUAAAGGCUUGUAAGUUAUUUUAAGAACCAUAUGAACAGUAUGAAGGCUAUUUUAUCGAAGUUGGCAUAUCCAUAAAAUAUUUGAUUUAAAUGCAUUCUUAUUAAAGGCCCAUGGAGUUUUAAAACCUUAUUGGGCUUCGCAUCUCACCUUAUUAUAUUUUAGUGCAUAGGUUCUUCCUAGAAGCAGCGAGAGUAUUAGAGGUGACAAGGAU